Olea europaea var. sylvestris is the source of this 1916-nucleotide long non-coding RNA. RefSeq lists it as uncharacterized. The transcript has 2 exons. Lineage: Eukaryota; Viridiplantae; Streptophyta; Magnoliopsida; Lamiales; Oleaceae. The record is from RefSeq and is a predicted model, not a curated record.
AGGAUAAAUAAAUAAACUCCUAUUAAUUUUGAUAUCCCUACAUGUAAGAACCAAAAAACUAUGACUUUGACUAAGAAGGAGAAAAUGAUCAAACUAACUUUCUCUUAGUGCAGGUAGAAGUCCAGCAGCAACAAGCCCAGAAUAAUCAGAAUUCCAUGUUUGCCAGAGGAAAGACGACAGGUCACACUAUUAGUCUUUGUGUGAUUGUACCCUGGAAAAUUUUGGCCACUGCCGGUUGGGGGACUGUUACUGCUCGGUGUAGAAGGGUUGCUUUGGACCAUGAUCAAAACUUUCUGUCCAGCUUGGCAGUUGCCUGGGAAGCUACAAAUGAAGUGAAAAUUUCCGAAGGCCGGAAGCAAAUUCAAUCGCUUCCACUGUUGAAGCUGGAAAGUGGUGUUGAGCAGUGCCGGCCCUCACUUGCCUUGGGCCUCAAAUUGUAGGGGGCCUCAUCUGUUAUAAAAAAAUAAUAAUAAUAAUAAAUAAAUAAAAUUGGCACAAGAAAACGAACCACCUUUCUCCAUAAAUUAUUUUUAUUCCGUUUUAAUCGUCUUCGUCUUCUCCACCACAAGGCAAAAGGUAGAAUAAAUCCCUAAAAUUAAAACUACCAUCUACCAUGACAAGUCCGACUGCAAAAAUUCGGCGACAUUGGCAGACGGCACAGCAGGUUGGGCUUCUUCUUCACUUUUAUAAUUUGAGUAACUUAGUUUGUAGGUUUCCAGUCUGGCAGUCCCGAUUAGAGAUUCCAUCCUUGCUUGCUUUCAAUGCUUUGCCUUUGGCUCUUUGAGUAAUGAUUUCUAUCUUCUGAUUUCUCAUUUUUGGUUCCAUAAUUAAACUUAUUAUCUUCUCAUUUUUGGUUCCGUAAUUAAAGUUAUAAUGUUCCAUAAUUAAACUGGUUCCAGACUUCACCAUGGCAUUGAAUAGAUUAAACUUAUUAAAGGUAAUUUCAAGUUUUCGUGAAUCAAUAAAUGGGAUUGGAUGUUUUCUAAUUUGAGUUUGUCAGUAACUUAUUAAUGUUUUGGAAAUGAGAUUCUAAUUUUGGUGAUAUGUUGAUUCUAUUGCCACUGAUUCACACAAAAAGCAUUUACAAGUGAUUGGGACAAGGAUUUGAAAAGCUUAUGAGCAAUUUGUGUUUUGAUUCUUUGCAACAGCCAACAGUCGUAUUGUCUACUUCAAUCACCAUCGCAACCACCAAUUUCUGAAUCCUUUCAUUUUGGGACUCAUCAAUCAGGUUUUAUCGCUCUUUACUUGUCAGUACGUCUACGCGAAAAUUUGAAUCUGGAUGUGCCAAAAGAAAAAGGAAAGAAAAGAUUGAAAAGUUGAUUAAAUCUCAAGAGGGAGCACUUAAUAAGUUUUUUAGUAAUAGUAAACGAACACACAACGAUGAUGCAGUUAUUGAAGAAGUAUUAAAUGAGAAUGACAACAAUAAUAAUACAAUUGAAGAAGGACAUUGUGUGAUGAAUGAAGAUGUAUCUACUGACAAAGAUAAUGAACCAUUUUCUCUUGACCUUGUUGAUCUAGCAAAUUGGGGAAAUAUGAAUACGAAUUUAAGAGAUUUAAUUGUAAUAAUGGUCAUGUAAGAGAAAAUGAUAUGAUUUUUCCAGAAGAUGGAGCGAAUCAACACUUCUCAUCCAUACAUUACGUUCAACGAUUACAUAAUAGAGAGAAGCAUGCUAGAAAAUGGUUGAUAUAUUCAAAAAGUUUGGAUAAAGUAUUUUACUUUUGUUGUAAGCUAUUCAAGAAUGAUGAGAUCAGAACUCAAUUGGCACAUGAUGGAGUAAAUGACAGGAAAAAUAUUGGUGAAAAACUUAAAAUGCAUGAAGUAAAUUGUGACCACAUCAAUAACAUGAGUAAAUGGAUAGAAAUGGAAUUAAGAUUUGAAAAGAGAAAAACAAUUGACAAAAGUGUGCAAGAACAAA